Molecule: ribosomal RNA, 1074 nt
Filed under: uncultured bacterium
Lineage: Bacteria
Description: bacterial SSU rRNA
Rfam family: Bacterial small subunit ribosomal RNA
Source: RNAcentral
CUACGGGAGGCAGCAGUGGGGAAUCUUGGACAAUGGGCGAAAGCCUGAUCCAGCGACGCCGCGUGGGGGACGAAGCCCUUCGGGGUGUAAACCCCUGUUGCGAGGGAGGAAUAAGACCUGGAGGAAAUGCCAGGUCGAUGACUGUACCUCGCGAGAAAGCCCCGGCUAACUACGUGCCAGCAGCCGCGGUAAUACGUAGGGGGCGAGCGUUACCCGGAUUCACUGGGCGUAAAGGGGGUGUAGGCGGCUCGGCAAGUCGGGUGUGAAAUCCCACGGCUCAACCGUGGAAUUGCGCCCGAAACUGCCGAGCUUGGGGCCGGUAGAGGGAGACGGAACUGCCGGUGUAGGGGUGAAAUCUGUAGAUAUCGGCAGGAACGCCGGUGGGGAAGCCGGUCUCCUGGGCCGCGCCCGACGCUGAGGCCCGAAAGCUAGGGGAGCAAACCGGAUUAGAUACCCGGGUAGUCCUAGCCGUAAACGAUGCCCACUAGGUGUGGGGGAGUCAUUCCUCCGUGCUGUAGCUAACGCGUUAAGUGGGCCGCCUGGGGAGUACGCCCGCAAGGGUGAAACUCAAAGGAAUUGGCGGGACCCCGCACAAGCGAUGGAGCGCGUGGUUUAAUUGGAUGCUGAGCCAAGAACCUUACCAGGGCUUGACAUGCAGGUGGUACCGACCCGAAAGGGGAGGGACCCCAUCCUUUUGGGUGGGGAGCCUGCACAGGUGGUGCACGGCCGUCGUCAGCUCGUGCCGUGAGGUGUUGGGUUAAGUCCCGCAACGAGCGCAACCCCUGCCCUUAGUUGCCAUCGGUUCGGCCGGGCACUCUAAGGGGACUGCCGGCGACGAGCCGGAGGAAGGAGGGGACGACGUCAGGUACUCGUGCCCCUUAUGCCCUGGGCUACACACGCGCUACAAUGGGUGGUACAGUGGGUUGCGACCCCGCGAGGGGGAGCCAAUCCCUAAAACCACCCCCAGUUCGGAUCGCAGGCUGCAACCCGCCUGCGUGAAGCCGGAAUCGCUAGUAACCGCAGAUCAGCCACGCUGCGGUGAAUACGUUCUCGGGCCUUGUACACACCGCCCGU